Molecule: ribosomal RNA, 487 nt
Filed under: Cryptosporidium sp. vole genotype VIII
Lineage: Eukaryota; Apicomplexa; Conoidasida; Eucoccidiorida; Cryptosporidiidae
Description: partial small subunit ribosomal RNA
Rfam family: Eukaryotic small subunit ribosomal RNA
Source: RNAcentral
AUGAGUUAAGUAUAAACCCCUUUACAAGUAACAAUUGGAGGGCAAGUCUGGUGCCAGCAGCCGCGGUAAUUCCAGCUCCAAUAGCGUAUAUUAAAGUUGUUGCAGUUAAAAAGCUCGUAGUUGGAUUUCUGUUAAUAAUUUAUAUUAGUAUACAUUUUUGUAUUUAAUAUGAUAUUAACAUAAUUCAUAUUACUAAUUUUAGUAUAUGAAAUUUUACUUUGAGAAAAUUAGAGUGCUUAAAGCAGGCAAUUGCCUUGUAUACUACAGCAUGGAAUAAUAAUAAAAGAUUUUUAUCUUUUUUUUUUUAUUGGUUCUAAGAUAAAAAUAAUGAUUAAUAGGGACAGUUGGGGGCAUUUGUAUUUAACAGUUAGAGGUGAAAUUCUUAGAUUUGUUAAAGACAAACUAAUGCGAAAGCAUUUGCCAAGGAUGUUUUCAUUAAUCAAGAACGAAAGUUAGGGGAUCGAAGACGAUCAGAUACCGUCGUAGU